ACAUACGACCAUACGCACUAGAAAAUACGGCAUCCCGUCCGCUCUGCCCUAGUCAAACUGGUGACGGCUGGAUUAGUACUCAGAUCGGUGACGGCUGGGGAAUCCCCGGUGUUGUAUGUU
This is a ribosomal RNA of Pestalotiopsis fici W106-1, 120 nucleotides long. The record is from Rfam. Lineage: Eukaryota; Fungi; Ascomycota; Sordariomycetes; Amphisphaeriales; Sporocadaceae.